RNAcentral lists this long non-coding RNA (1159 nucleotides) under Anser brachyrhynchus (Pink-footed goose). RNAcentral's name for it is "lncRNA (ENSABRG00000004571.1)". Lineage: Eukaryota; Metazoa; Chordata; Aves; Anseriformes; Anatidae. The record is from RNAcentral.
GCUUUCUGUGCACCCUUGGCUACUCACUGUACUGACAGUAACAGCAGGAGCUGUGCCAUUCUAUGCCUACAGUGUAAUCUGAAGGUAUCAAGCUAAAGGAGAUUUACCUAAUCUGUUUUUAAAUUACACAGUUCUGGCAUCAGAUAGUACUAUUUUGUAGAGUUGAAUGGUCAUUACUGAAGCAUAGAAAUCUGCCAUAAACACAUUUCAGGGGAUUUUACAUUGGCUCAUGUUCUGAGUGCUGAUAAGGAUUUGGAGCACAUUAAGAUGGUCAGGAGAUCUGUAUCAAAAAUUGUAUUUCUGACUUGAACUAAGAUAUUCUUGUUGAUACAUCAGCAUUAAUAUUCUGCACUUGGAGGUGUGUGGGGGUGAAUGUGUCUAUGUAAGAGCUCCAUUUUAAGCAACAGGCCCUCUCUGGUUGAGUCUUAAGUACUUUUACCAUGUUUAUGCAGUAUGGUUAUCAUUACUAUUCUUAUUUUACAGGCAGCAGUAUCUAAGGACAAAAAGGUUAAGGUACUGGAGUAUAGUUGAGCUAAGACAUUAUUGUUUAGCAUCAUGGGUCACAAACAAAUGAAGUUCAACUAAAAAAGAAACAACAAUGGAGGGAAAAACAACUACAUACUCCACACUAUUAGGCUGUUAAAAACAAAGUGGCACUGCUGUCUUUUAUGUAAGGAUCUUCAUCCAGAACUCCCGAAUUUGUAAAGAAAUUAAAAAGAAAAGCACUUCCUUCAUGCCACCAAGCAAGGAUGAUUUCCAGGUCCUGAUUUCCAGGUUUAAAUCUCAUGUCAGAAACUUGUCCACUCAACCUUUAUCUUUCCUUCAUUCAUGACACAUAAAUGUUAAUGGAAUUUGAAAAACUUGACAUUUUCAGAAGUUGCAAAAGCUCCUUCUAACUUAAAUGAUGUUUAUCACCUCAGGAAAAUUCCUCCAAAAAUCAGCAUGACUACCUUCAUUGUAUGUAAGUACAAACAAGCAUUUGCCCUAAUAUAUAGUUAAAAUUACAUCUUGAGUGAUUUAAAGUGAUUUAAAGUGAUACACUUAUUUUUGUAUAGCAGAGUAAUGCCCAUACAACCUCUCUGAAAUUUCUCUCAAUAUCAAAUAUCUCCCAAAAAGGGAAGGGAAGGGAAGGGAAGGGAAGGGAAGGGAAGGGAAGGGA